GUAGGUGAACCUGCGGAAGGAUCAUUACAGUGUUCCCUGCCCUCACGGGUAGAAACGCCCACCCUUGUGUAUUAUAUCUUUGUUGCUUCGGCAGGCCGCCCUCGGGCACCGGCUCCGGCUGGAUCGUGCCUGCCAAAGGAAACCCAAACUCUGAAUGUUAGUGUCGUCUGAGUACUAUCUAAUAGUUAAAACUUUCAACAACGGAUCUCUUGGUUCUG
Molecule: unclassified non-coding RNA, 218 nt
Filed under: rhizosphere metagenome
Description: partial ribosomal RNA internal transcribed spacer region
Source: RNAcentral